RNAcentral lists this unclassified non-coding RNA (229 nucleotides) under uncultured fungus. RNAcentral describes it as "sequence contains ITS1, 5.8S rRNA gene". The stretch from base 181 to 229 matches the Rfam family "5.8S ribosomal RNA", at positions 1 to 49 of the family's 154-position model. The record is from RNAcentral. Lineage: Eukaryota; Fungi.
UCUCCGUAUGUCAACCUGCGGAGUGAGCAUUACUGAGUGAGGGCCUCCCCGGCCCGACCUCCAACCCUUUGUGAACACAACUUGUUGCUUCGGGGGCGACCCUGCCGUUUCGACGGCGAGCGCCCCCGGAGGCCUUCAAACACUGCAUCUUUGCGUCGGAGUUUAAGUAAAUUUAAACAAAACUUUCAACAACGGAUCUCUUGGUUCUGGCAUCGAUGAAGAACGCAGC